RNAcentral lists this ribosomal RNA (275 nucleotides) under uncultured bacterium. Its description in RNAcentral is "partial 16S ribosomal RNA". It matches the Rfam family "Bacterial small subunit ribosomal RNA", at positions 399 to 691 of the family's 1533-position model. The record is from RNAcentral.
GCGUGAUCGAUGAAGGCCUUAGGGUUGUAAAGAUCUUUCGUGGGGGAAGAUAAUGACGGUACCCCAAGAAGAAGCCCCGGCUAACUCCGUGCCAGCAGCCGCGGUAAUACGGAGGGGGCUAGCGUUAUUCGGAAUUACUGGGCGUAAAGCGCACGUAGGCGGAUUGGAAAGUCAGAGGUGAAAUCCCAGAGCUCAACUUUGGAACUGCCUUUGAAACUCCCAGUCUUGAGGUCGAGAGAGGUGAGUGGAAUUCCGAGUGUAGAGGUGAAAUUCGU